AUCACAAUUGCACAUAUUUGAUGCAUUUCCUUUGUUUUUGGUAAUUGUUUGUCAUCAGGGACUUUUUUGUCCAGAUCUCUUAAAUUAUUCAAAUUAAAUUCACCAAAACAGUGACUUGAAUGCAGCUCUUCUAGGAUGAUGAACAUGUUUUAAAUUUCUGAGCUCGGUCAUUUUUAUAUUUUCUCUCAGACGCCGGCACGUCCUGCUGGAUUCUUUCGUCAUUACAGUGGAAACAACAUAACAUACUGUAUGCCCUAAAAAUACAUUUUAGGGCAUACAGAUAAGUGUAAUUAGAGACUAUAAAGGGUCUACUUUUAUUUGUGUACCCUCACAAUAACAACAAAAACCUAAAGCUUUUGUAAAAAAAAGAAAAAGGGUGAGUUUACAGCAGUCUCAGUUUUCUGAAACACGUCACAUAAAUGAAAAAACUCCGCGAAUACUUAUCACACAAACAUGAAACAAAUGUUUAAAGAAAGCUUAAAAUGUCUACUUUUAAAUAAAACAAUUCAAAUUUAAAACAAAUAUUCUCCUGCAAUGUAAUCUGUAUGAAACAAAGCGAUGUACAUUUUCUCCUGGCUCAGGUAAUUAUCCCUAAUGUGAUCACACCCACGGGCAGAGGGCACUAUUCAUAAGGUAAUGUAAUGAGGCGAUCAAUACAAAUGGUAAACGCCCCUGACUGUGCCUUAAAAACAUCUGGUUCAUUCACUUUUCUGCGCUUUUGAAAGAUAGAAAGAUACAGAGGCGAGGAAACUCCUGAAUAGUGAUGAAGAGUUAACAUUUUCCACAGAAGAAGAGCAGGACUCUGAUGAACGUUUGCAUUUUGAAGAGAGACUUGAUCCAGGCGAGGAUACAAUUUCGGAUCAGUAAGUAAUUUAAUUUUCAUUAGUUGACAUGCUACUUUACAUAAACAUGUACAUAUUUAACUAGUGGGACUGUUUCUAGACUUGCCAGCCAGGAUUCAGAGUAUUGAAAUAUGUCCUAAUAGGCAAGUUUUAGUUAUAUUUAAAUGCUGUUUUGGCUAAAGCAGGUAUUUAAAUUGUAUGCUGUAUGAUAUACACUCACCUAAAGGAUUAUUAGGAACACCUGUUCAAUUUCUCAUUAAUGCAAUUAUCUAAUCAACCAAUCACAUGGCAGUUGCUUCAAUGCAUUUAGGGGUGUGGUCCUGGUCAAGACAAUCUCCUGAAUGGGAAAGAAAGGUGAUUUAAGCAAUUUUGAGCGUGGCAUGGUUGUUUGUGCCAGAUGGGCCGGUCUGAGUAUUUCACAAUCUGCUCAGUUACUGGGAUUUUCACGCACAACCAUUUCUAGGGUUUACAAAGAAUGGUGUGAAAAGGGAAAAACAUCCAGUAUGCGGCAGUCCUGUGGGUGAAAAUGCCUUGUUGAUGCUAGAGGUCAGAGGAGAAUGGGCCGACUGAUUCAAGCUGAUACAAGAGCAACUUUGCCUGAAAUAACCACUCGUUACAACCGAGGUAUGCAGCAAAGCAUUUGUGAAGCCACAACACGCACAACCUUGAGGCGGAUGGGCUACAACAGCAGAAGACCCCACCGGGUACCACUCAUCUCCACUACAAAUAGGAAAAAGAGGCUACAAUUUGCAAGAGCUCACCAAAAUUGGACAGUUGAAGACUGGAAAAAUGUUGCCUGGUCUGAUGAGUCUCGAUUUCUGUUGAGACAUUCAGAUGGUAGAGUCAGAAUUUGCCGUAAACAGAAUGAGAACAUGGAUCCAUCAUGCCUUGUUACCACUGUGCAGGCUGGUGGUGGUGGUGUAAUGGUGUGGGGGAUGUUUUCUUGGCACA
This is a long non-coding RNA of Xyrauchen texanus (razorback sucker), 1793 nucleotides long. RefSeq lists it as uncharacterized. Lineage: Eukaryota; Metazoa; Chordata; Actinopteri; Cypriniformes; Catostomidae. The record is from RefSeq and is a predicted model, not a curated record. The transcript is spliced from 3 exons.